This 301-nucleotide ribosomal RNA is filed under the name uncultured bacterium. Its description in RNAcentral is "partial 16S ribosomal RNA". It matches the Rfam family "Bacterial small subunit ribosomal RNA", at positions 509 to 807 of the family's 1533-position model. The record is from RNAcentral.
CAGUAGCCGCGGUAAUACGUAGGUGGCAAGCGUUGUCCGGAAUUAUUGGGCGUAAAGGGCUCGCAGGCGGUUUCUUAAGUCUGAUGUGAAAGCCCCCGGCUCAACCGGGGAGGGUCAUUGGAAACUGGGAAACUUCAGUGCAGAAGAGGAGAGUGGAAUUCCACGUGUAGCGGUGAAAUGCGUAGAGAUGUGGAGGAACACCAGUGGCGAAGGCGACUCUCUGGUCUGUAACUGACGCUGAGGAGCGAAAGCGUGGGGAGCGAACAGGAUUAGAGACCCCAGUAGUCCCUGUCUCUUAUAC